RNAcentral lists this transfer RNA (74 nucleotides) under Gammaproteobacteria bacterium RIFCSPHIGHO2_12_FULL_41_20. RNAcentral's name for it is "tRNA-Arg". It matches the Rfam family "tRNA". From Rfam's summary of the family: Transfer RNA (tRNA) molecules are approximately 80 nucleotides in length. Their secondary structure includes four short double-helical elements and three loops (D, anti-codon, and T loops). Lineage: Bacteria; Pseudomonadati; Pseudomonadota; Gammaproteobacteria. The record is from RNAcentral.
GCGCCCGUAGCUCAGGUGGAUAGAGUGUUGGUUUCCGAAGCCAAAGGCCGGAGGUUCGAAUCCUCCCGGGCGCG